GGCUGGUUAGCUCAGUCAGUUGAGUGUGGCGUUAACAGCGCUAAGGUCAUGGGUUCGAUUCCCAUUCGAUCCC
RNAcentral lists this transfer RNA (73 nucleotides) under Apaloderma vittatum (bar-tailed trogon). It matches the Rfam family "tRNA". From Rfam's summary of the family: Transfer RNA (tRNA) molecules are approximately 80 nucleotides in length. Their secondary structure includes four short double-helical elements and three loops (D, anti-codon, and T loops). Further hydrogen bonds mediate the characteristic L-shaped molecular structure. tRNAs have two regions of fundamental functional importance: the anti-codon, which is responsible for specific mRNA codon recognition, and the 3' end, to which the tRNAs corresponding amino acid is attached (by aminoacyl-tRNA synthetases). tRNAs cope with the degeneracy of the genetic code in two manners: having more than one tRNA (with a specific anti-codon) for a particular amino acid; and 'wobble' base-pairing, i.e. permitting non-standard base-pairing at the 3rd anti-codon position. Lineage: Eukaryota; Metazoa; Chordata; Aves; Trogoniformes; Trogonidae. The record is from Rfam by way of RNAcentral.